CAAAACAAAAAACAGAAGAACGGAACGGGAGAGACACAUUUUUUUACUAGUAUUACGAACUGUAUGUUAAGUUAUGGCAAAUGAAGGAUGGAAGCGAAGUUAGAAAGGAUCAAAGGAUAAAAGGAUGAAAGGAAAACCUACAACAUAUAAAAGGAAAAAAUUAUGAGAAAAGGAGAAAGGAAUGCGGAGCAGCGGAAUGGCGGCUUAACUGUGACCUGAUUUUGGUUCUGAACAAAAAAAAAAAAAGAAAACUAUAAACUAUAAACUAUAAAAGAAAAGCGAACUGAAAAACCGUGUGAAGAAGGAGGCGGCUGCUUUUCUGCUGGCUUGCAAUAAUUUCAUUUUCCCAACAAUUGAACAGGCAAAAUGGAAAUCCCACGCCGCUGCAGUGCACACUCAAAAAAAGGAGGAAAAGUAGAGAAAAUAGGGGGAAAAAUGGAUAAGGAGAGGAGGGGCAGCCAGCGAGACAACAAUUCCAUGGGCUAAGCAAUUAAAGCGCCUCGUUCGCGUUCCUUGGCUCCGUUUUUGCACGCUCCAAUUGCGUUUCCAGUUGCAAAUGCAAAAGGCUUUGCAAAAAGAUACAAGGAAAGCAGGGGAAAAGUUGGGGAAAUGCUGGGGAAAUGCUGUGAAAGUGCCAGUGCCAGUGCCAGUGCCACUCUCUUCCCCCCGUCCCUUUCAUCACUCUCCCCUUCUCCCUUCUGUUUUCUGUUUUCUGGAGCGUGUAAUAUCCGUUUCCUGCAUUUCCGGUUGCAAGGCGACAAAAACAACAAGUGCAACAACAACGAAGUUGCAGCAGGGAGUUGCCUGAAAAUUGCUAGCGGAAAUGCUGCAAAAUUAACGAGCAACGCGGUUAGCUAGGGUGGAUUUUGGCGAGGAGCUGGAGUAGCUAGGGGAGCUACAGGAGCCGGAUCAGGAACAGUAGGAGAAGGAUUCAGGAGGUGGUGUAGAAGCCAGGUACAGGAGGCUUCCCCUUUUUUCUCUUUUGCAGAUGAAGGUAGGAUGAGGACCAACAGGAGCAACAGGAGGAGCAGCGACAGCCAAAGUAAAUGCAAACAAUUUUUUACCCACUGCCGGAGGUGUGCCAGCAUUGUGGGUGUGCGGGCUUAGCUACGCCUCACAAAAUGCAAAUUUUCACUUGUACCCGGUAAAGGUAAGGUAAAUGUGGUGGAUGUGGAGGAGUGAUGGGCCGCCGUCCAGCUUGGCAGCAGCUGCAAAUUAGACGCAUCGCUUAACCAGCAAUGACAUAAAGCAGCCAAGUGGCAGCAACAGCGCUAACAACGUCCUGGAGUCAUCGCCAUCGUAGCCAUCGUAGCCAUCACCAUCACCAUCAUCCUCCUCCUCGUCGUCAUCAUCAUCGUCAUCAUCCUCUGUGCAUCUCUGGGCUUAAAUCAACACAAAAAGAUGGAGAAAAAGCAAACUGAAUUUGGCCAGAGAUGCGGAUGGAGAUGGAUAUAGAGAUAGAGCCAUGGCUGCAGGUGGAUUUACACUGAAAUAAAUAGGAAAAAAAGGAAGAGAGAAAGAAGAGGAAUUUGAUUAAGGAUAUAACAUUUAUU
Drosophila serrata is the source of this 1553-nucleotide long non-coding RNA. RefSeq lists it as uncharacterized. The record is from RefSeq and is a predicted model, not a curated record. Lineage: Eukaryota; Metazoa; Arthropoda; Insecta; Diptera; Drosophilidae.